Non-coding RNA from Taeniopygia guttata (zebra finch), 1192 nucleotides. The record is from RefSeq and is a predicted model, not a curated record. Lineage: Eukaryota; Metazoa; Chordata; Aves; Passeriformes; Estrildidae.
GAGGCCCAGCCACGUGCUGUGUCUGGCAGCUCGAGGCAGAGCCUCAAUGUAUCCUGAAUAAACCUCUUCCCCCAAGAGCAACCACAGAGAUCUCGCCUGAAUCUGUCCGUGGAAUACAAUACACGUCGUUACAGACUGGCGCCCAUCGUCGAAUACGAACCCACGGUGACCUGCAACUGCACCCGUCUGGAUGCUUUCCAGCUUUUCUACCUGUAGGACACCUUUCCAUGGACACUAACUAUAUAACCAGGUAUUUCCUCGCCAUCGUGGUCGCGAGCACGGCAUUCUGCUGCUAGGCAGUAACGAACCGGAGCUCUUUAAAAAGUCCCGAAGCCGUCGUACAGCUCAGCGACUCGUUACAUAGUAGCGAGCUAUUAGAGCCCUUAUACGACUUCUGGCCAUUAUUCUCCGAGCACAAGAGAUCGCCGCGAUUCCGCGGCGACCCAAGGCUUUGUGACGACACUUGCCGCGCCACGUGGCCACGUACACAAAGCACAGGCGAGCACUGCUUAGCACUGCCCGCGCUGAAGCUCUGGAAAAACCCCGCGGUGACCUCAGCACCGACUGCAGUAAACGUCGGAACCUGACAGAGGAUCCCGCUCCUGCGACACCGAGGUGGACAACUCAAGUUGGUCCCAGGAAAGAAUGUAAAGCCUUACCACGCAUCGAAAUCUGCUGACACCCCCACACCAGACAGUUCCUCUACAAGCACAAGCCAAGAAGCCAGCACCCAGACCUGAACCACGCUGCGUCAUCGAGAGAAAAAUGGACUUUCUAUCGUUUAAUGCGUGCAUAUUGUUUUUGUUCUUCUGUUUCAGUUUUUAUAUUGAAGUUUUACUUAUAAUUCAACCAAAGACAAAUGCCGAGUAGCUUUAGCCAAGCCUGCAAGCUCUAAGACCACCUAUAUAUCUAACACAAACCCUAACAAACCUUUUUCAACCCGUUUAAUUAUAAGACCUUUUCCAAAAAAUUCUGACAAUGCCUCCCCUACUAUAAUCAGUGAUUUAAUAACAAUAAAGCCAUCUCAGCUACACAGUUGACUUAAUGGUUCGAGACUUGCACCUUGGCUAAAGGAACUCUGUAAAAUAAGCUUAACUGUUUCAGUAGCAAUAAGUAUAGUUCUAGUAACAAUACCCUGUACACCUCCAAGUGUGCAGAAAAUAGUUGUUAAAUCAAUAUCUAAUAUUUCAAA